RNAcentral lists this ribosomal RNA (772 nucleotides) under uncultured Neocallimastigales. RNAcentral describes it as "partial large subunit ribosomal RNA". It matches the Rfam family "Eukaryotic large subunit ribosomal RNA", at positions 24 to 646 of the family's 3401-position model. Lineage: Eukaryota; Fungi; Neocallimastigomycota; Neocallimastigomycetes; Neocallimastigales. The record is from RNAcentral.
GUAGUCUCGCACAGAUGCAUAUCAAUAAGCGGAGGAAAAGAAACUAACAAGGAUUCCCCUAGUAACGGCGAGUGAAGCGGGAAGAGCUCAAAUUUGAAAUCUUAAAGGGUUUCCCUUUACGAAUGUAGUUUAAAGAAGUGUUUUCUGUUGAGGUUUUGGUAAAAGUUCUUUGGAAUAGGACAUCAUAGAGGGUGAGAAUCCCGUAUUUGACCUUUACUUUCAACUUUGUGAUACACUUUCAAAGAGUCGGAUUGUUUGGGAAUGCAGUCCAAAAUGGGUGGUAAAUUUCAUCUAAAGCUAAAUAUUGGCGAGAGACCGAUAGCGAACAAGUACCGUGAGGGAAAGAUGAAAAGAACUUUGAAAAGAGAGUUAAACAGUACGUGAAAUUGUCAAAAGGGAAGCGUUUGACACCAGUGUUGUUUUUCUGAAAAUCAAUUAAAGAACUGUUUAUGCUAAGUUGUUUAGACUUUAUCAGCUAACUGUUUAGUUUUGAGCUUUUCUUUAAUGCACUUUUCAGUUAACAAGUCAACAUCAAUUUCUUUUGCUGUAAAAAAGCUUGAGGAAGGUGGCUUGAGAUUCGUCUUAAGUGUUUAUAGCCUCUUGCCUAUGCAGUCGGAGAGAUUGAGGUUGCAGCGUAGAUCCUUCGGGGCUAAAUGCAUUUGUGCUAAGUUAUAGCAUUUCAUAGACAACUUGUUGACUAUGAUUUGUCUUGUAGCUUACUCGCUUAUGUUAUAUUACCUACGCUUAGGAUGUUGAUCUGUAGUGCGUGCGC